AGGGAAUCUUCCGCAAUGGACGAAAGUCUGACGGAGCAACGCCGCGUGAGUGAAGAAGGUCUUCGGAUCGUAGAACUCUGUUGUUAGGGAAGAACAAGUAUCGUUCGAAUAGGGCGGUACCUUGACGGUACCUAACCAGAAAGCCACGGCUAACUACGUGCCAGCAGCCGCGGUAAUACGUAGGUGGCAAGCGUUGUCCGGAAUUAUUGGGCGUAAAGCGCGCGCAGGCGGUCUUUAAGUCUGAUGUGAAAGCCCACGGCUCAACCGUGGAGGGUCAUUGGAAACUGGGGGACUUGAGUGCAGAAGAGGAAAGCGGAAUUCCACGUGUAGCGGUGAAAUGCGUAGAGAUGUGGAGGAACACCAGUGGCGAAGGCGACUCUCUGGGCUGUAACUGACGCUGAGGCGCGAAAGCGUGGGGAGCAAAC
This 425-nucleotide ribosomal RNA is filed under the name uncultured bacterium. RNAcentral's name for it is "bacterial SSU rRNA". It matches the Rfam family "Bacterial small subunit ribosomal RNA", at positions 356 to 773 of the family's 1533-position model. The record is from RNAcentral.